RNAcentral lists this ribosomal RNA (253 nucleotides) under uncultured bacterium. RNAcentral's name for it is "partial 16S ribosomal RNA". It matches the Rfam family "Bacterial small subunit ribosomal RNA", at positions 524 to 776 of the family's 1533-position model. The record is from RNAcentral.
UACGGAGGGGGCUAGCGUUGUUCGGAAUUAUUGGGCGUAAAGCGCGUGUAGGCGGCUUUGCAAGUCGGGUGUGAAAGCCCUCGGCUCAACCGAGGAAGUGCGCCCGAAACUGCAGAGCUUGAGUACCGGAGAGGAUGGCGGAAUUCCCCAAGUAGAGGUGAAAUUCGUAGAUAUGGGGAGGAACACCGGUGGCGAAGGCGGCCAUCUGGACGGAUACUGACGCUGAGACGCGAAAGCGUGGGUAGCAAACAGG